Molecule: ribosomal RNA, 777 nt
Filed under: Pseudomonas sp. BND-YA6
Lineage: Bacteria; Pseudomonadati; Pseudomonadota; Gammaproteobacteria; Pseudomonadales; Pseudomonadaceae
Description: bacterial SSU rRNA
Rfam family: Bacterial small subunit ribosomal RNA
Source: RNAcentral
UUAGAGUUUNAUCCUGGCUCAGAUUGAACGCUGGCGGCAGGCCUAACACAUGCAAGUCGAGCGGUAGAGAGAAGCUUGCUUCUCUUGAGAGCGGCGGACGGGUGAGUAAUGCCUAGGAAUCUGCCUGGUAGUGGGGGAUAACGUUCGGAAACGGACGCUAAUACCGCAUACGUCCUACGGGAGAAAGCAGGGGACCUUCGNGCCUUGCGCUAUCAGAUGAGCCUAGGUCGGAUUAGCUAGUUGGUGAGGUAAUGGCUCACCAAGGCGACGAUCCGUAACUGGUCUGAGAGGAUGAUCAGUCACACUGGAACUGAGACACGGUCCAGACUCCUACGGGAGGCAGCAGUGGGGAAUAUUGGACAAUGGGCGAAAGCCUGAUCCAGCCAUGCCGCGUGUGUGAAGAAGGUCUUCGGAUUGUAAAGCACUUUAAGUUGGGAGGAAGGGCAGUUACCUAAUACGUGAUUGUUUUGACGUUACCGACAGAAUAAGCACCGGCUAACUCUGUGCCAGCAGCCGCGGUAAUACAGAGGGUGCAAGCGUUAAUCGGAAUUACUGGGCGUAAAGCGCGCGUAGGUGGUUAGUUAAGUUGGAUGUGAAAUCCCCGGGCUCAACCUGGGAACUGCAUUCAAAACUGACUGACUAGAGUAUGGUAGAGGGUGGUGGAAUUUCCUGUGUAGCGGUGAAAUGCGUAGAUAUAGGAAGGAACACCAGUGGCGAAGGCGACCCACCCUGGACCUGAUACCUGACACUGAGGUGCGAAAGCGUGGGAGCAACCAG